UCCCUGGUGACUGAGAUGGUAAAGAAUCUGCCUGAAGUUCAGGAGACCCAGGUUUGAUCCCUGGUUUGUGAA
RNAcentral lists this transfer RNA (72 nucleotides) under Ovis aries (sheep). It matches the Rfam family "tRNA". From Rfam's summary of the family: Transfer RNA (tRNA) molecules are approximately 80 nucleotides in length. Their secondary structure includes four short double-helical elements and three loops (D, anti-codon, and T loops). Lineage: Eukaryota; Metazoa; Chordata; Mammalia; Artiodactyla; Bovidae. The record is from Rfam by way of RNAcentral.